RNAcentral lists this ribosomal RNA (300 nucleotides) under uncultured soil bacterium. RNAcentral's name for it is "bacterial SSU rRNA". It matches the Rfam family "Bacterial small subunit ribosomal RNA", at positions 26 to 354 of the family's 1533-position model. The record is from RNAcentral.
AGAACGAACGCUGGCGGCAUGCCUAAUACAUGCAAGUCGAACGAACUCUUCGGAGUUAGUGGCGCACGGGUGCGUAACGCGUGGGAAUCUGCCCCUUGGUUCGGAAUAACAGUUGGAAACGACUGCUAAUACCGGAUGAUGACGAAAGUCCAAAGAUUUAUCGCCAAGGGAUGAGCCCGCGUAGGAUUAGCUAGUUGGUGAGGUAAAGGCUCACCAAGGCAACGAUCCUUAGCUGGUCUGAGAGGAUGAUCAGCCACACUGGGACUGAGACACGGCCCAGACUCCGUACGGGAGCAGCAA